UACAGAGGGUGCAAGCGUUGUUCGGAAUUAUUGGGCGUAAAGCGCGUGUAGGCGGCGUUUGCAAGUUCGGGUGUGAAAGCCCUCAGCUUAACUGAGGAAGUGCGCCCGAAACUGCAGAGCUUGAGUACCGGAGAGGAUGGUGGAAUUCCCCAAGUAGAGGUGAAAUUCGUAGAUAUGGGGAGGAACACCGGUGGCGAAGGCGACCAUCUGGACGGAUACUGACGCUGAGACGCGAAAAGCGGUGGGUACGCAAACAGG
This 258-nucleotide ribosomal RNA is filed under the name uncultured bacterium. RNAcentral's name for it is "partial 16S ribosomal RNA". It matches the Rfam family "Bacterial small subunit ribosomal RNA", at positions 524 to 776 of the family's 1533-position model. The record is from RNAcentral.